This 73-nucleotide transfer RNA is filed under the name Patescibacteria group bacterium. RNAcentral describes it as "tRNA-Ile". It matches the Rfam family "tRNA". Rfam says of the family: Transfer RNA (tRNA) molecules are approximately 80 nucleotides in length. The record is from RNAcentral.
GCGCCUAUAGCUCAGGGGUUAGAGCACAACGCUUAUAACGUUGGGGUCGAUGGUUCAAGACCAUCUAGGCGCA